This 1353-nucleotide ribosomal RNA is filed under the name Salmonella enterica. RNAcentral's name for it is "partial 23S ribosomal RNA". It matches the Rfam family "Bacterial large subunit ribosomal RNA", at positions 1292 to 2628 of the family's 2925-position model. Lineage: Bacteria; Pseudomonadati; Pseudomonadota; Gammaproteobacteria; Enterobacterales; Enterobacteriaceae. The record is from RNAcentral.
GAAUGCUGACAUAAGUAACGAUAAAGCGGGUGAAAAGCCCGCUCGCCGGAAGACCAAGGGUUCCUGUCCAACGUUAAUCGGGGCAGGGUGAGUCGACCCCUAAGGCGAGGCCGAAAGGCGUAGUCGAUGGGAAACGGGUUAAUAUUCCCGUACUUGGUGUUACUGCGAAGGGGGGACGGAGAAGGCUAUGUUGGCCGGGCGACGGUUGUCCCGGUUUAAGCGUGUAGGUGUGUGUUCCAGGUAAAUCCGGUUCACUUUAACACUGAGGCGUGACGACGAGGCACUACGGUGCUGAAGCAACAAAUGCCCUGCUUCCAGGAAAAGCCUCUAAGCAUCAGGUAACAUCAAAUCGUACCCCAAACCGACACAGGUGGUCAGGUAGAGAAUACCAAGGCGCUUGAGAGAACUCGGGUGAAGGAACUAGGCAAAAUGGUGCCGUAACUUCGGGAGAAGGCACGCUGACACGUAGGUGAAGUGAUUUACUCAUGGAGCUGAAGUCAGUCGAAGAUACCAGCUGGCUGCAACUGUUUAUUAAAAACACAGCACUGUGCAAACACGAAAGUGGACGUAUACGGUGUGACGCCUGCCCGGUGCCGGAAGGUUAAUUGAUGGGGUCAGCGCAAGCGAAGCUCCUGAUCGAAGCCCCGGUAAACGGCGGCCGUAACUAUAACGGUCCUAAGGUAGCGAAAUUCCUUGUCGGGUAAGUUCCGACCUGCACGAAUGGCGUAAUGAUGGCCAGGCUGUCUCCACCCGAGACUCAGUGAAAUUGAACUCGCUGUGAAGAUGCAGUGUACCCGCGGCAAGACGGAAAGACCCCGUGAACCUUUACUAUAGCUUGACACUGAACAUUGAGCCUUGAUGUGUAGGAUAGGUGGGAGGCUUUGAAGUGUGGACGCCAGUCUGCAUGGAGCCGACCUUGAAAUACCACCCUUUAAUGUUUGAUGUUCUAACGUGGACCCGUUACCCGGGUUGCGGACAGUGUCUGGUGGGUAGUUUGACUGGGGCGGUCUCCUCCUAAAGAGUAACGGAGGAGCACGAAGGUUGGCUAAUCCUGGUCGGACAUCAGGAGGUUAGUGCAAUGGCAUAAGCCAGCUUGACUGCGAGCGUGACGGCGCGAGCAGGUGCGAAAGCAGGUCAUAGUGAUCCGGUGGUUCUGAAUGGAAGGGCCAUCGCUCAACGGAUAAAAGGUACUCCGGGGAUAACAGGCUGAUACCGCCCAAGAGUUCAUAUCGACGGCGGUGUUUGGCACCUCGAUGUCGGCUCAUCACAUCCUGGGGCUGAAGUAGGUCCCAAGGGUAUGGCUGUUCGCCAUUUAAAGUGGUACGCGAGCUGGGUUUAGAACGUCGUGAGACA